This 381-nucleotide unclassified non-coding RNA is filed under the name uncultured Acidobacteriota bacterium. RNAcentral describes it as "uncultured Acidobacteria bacterium contains 16S-23S intergenic spacer region". The record is from RNAcentral. Lineage: Bacteria; Pseudomonadati; Acidobacteriota.
UCCGGUUUGGCACCGGCAGUCUUCCUAGAGUGCCCAGCUUAACCUGAUGGCAACUAAGGACAAGGGUUGCGCUCGUUGCGGGACUUAACCCAACAUCUCACGACACGAGCUGACGACAGCCAUGCAGCACCUCGACUGGACCCCCUUGCGGGGUAGCGCUGUUUCCAACGCCGUUGACCAGCCGUUCGAGCCCAGGUAAGGUUCUUCGCGUUGCGUCGAAUUGAACCACAUGCUCCACCGCUUGUGCGGGCCCCCGUCAAUUCCUUUGAGUUUCAGCCUUGCGACUGUACUCCCCAGGCGGCAUAUUUAACGCGUUAGCUUCGCCACAAACGGGGUCGAUUCCUCUUACAGCAAAUGCGCACCGUUUACGGCUAGGACUAC